GAUGAAGAACGUAGCGAAAUGCGAUAAGUAGUGUGAAUUGCAGAAUUCAGUGAAUCAUCGAAUCUUUGAACGCACAUUGCGCCCCUUGGUAUCCCGAGGGGCAUGCCUGUUCGAGCGUCAUUUCACCACUCAAGCCUGGCUUGGUGUUGGGCGACGUCCUCUUUGGGGACGCGCUUCGAAACGCUCGGCGGCGUGGCACCGGCUUUAAGCGUAGCAGAAUCUUUCGCUUUGGAAGUCGGGGCCCCGUCUGCCGGAAGACCUGCUCGCAAGGUUGACCUCGGAUCAGGCAGGGAUACCCGCUGAACUUAAGCAUAUCAAUAAGCGGAGGA
This 329-nucleotide unclassified non-coding RNA is filed under the name soil metagenome. Its description in RNAcentral is "partial contains 5.8S ribosomal RNA, internal transcribed spacer 2, and large subunit ribosomal RNA". The stretch from base 1 to 120 matches the Rfam family "5.8S ribosomal RNA", at positions 35 to 154 of the family's 154-position model. The record is from RNAcentral.